UUCGGCUUAACCGGAGAAGUGCAUCGGAAACUGGGGAGACUUGAGUGCAGAAGAGGACAGUGGAACUCCAUGUGUAGCGGUGGAAUGCGUAGAUAUAUGGAAGAACACCAGUGGCGAAGGCGGCUGUCUAGUCUGUAACUGACGCUGAGGCUCGAAAGCAUGGGUAGCGAACAGGAUUAGAUACCCUGGUAGUCCAUGCCGUAAACGAUGAGUGCUAAGUGUUGGAGGGUUUCCGCCCUUCAGUGCUGCAGCUAACGCAUUAAGCACUCCGCCUGGGGAGUACGACCGCAAGGUUGAAACUCAAAGGAAUUGACGGGGGCCCGCACAAGCGGUGGAGCAUGUGGUUUAAUUCGAAGCUACGCGAAGAACCUUACCAGGUCUUGACAUCUUCUGCCAAUCUUAGAGAUAAGACGUUCCCUUCGGGGACAGAAUGACAGGUGGUGCAUGGUUGUCGUCAGCUCGUGUCGUGAGAUGUUGGGUUAAGUCCCGCAACGAGCGCAACCCUUAUUAUCAGUUGCCAGCAUUCAGUUGGGCACUCUGGUGAGACUGCCGGUGACAAACCGGAGGAAGGUGGGGAUGACGUCAAAUCAUCAUGCCCCUUAUGACCUGGGCUACACACGUGCUACAAUGGACGGUACAACGAGUCGCGAAGUCGUGAGGCUAAGCUAAUCUCUUAAAGCCGUUCUCAGUUCGGAUUGUAGGCUGCAACUCGCCUACAUGAAGUUGGAAUCGCUAGUAAUCGCGGAUCAGCAUGCCGCGGUGAAUACGUUCCCGGGCCUUGUACACACCGCCCGUCACACCAUGAGAGUUUGUAACACCCAAAGCCGGUGAGAUAACC
This 838-nucleotide ribosomal RNA is filed under the name Levilactobacillus brevis. RNAcentral's name for it is "bacterial SSU rRNA". It matches the Rfam family "Bacterial small subunit ribosomal RNA", at positions 603 to 1440 of the family's 1533-position model. Lineage: Bacteria; Bacillati; Bacillota; Bacilli; Lactobacillales; Lactobacillaceae. The record is from RNAcentral.